This is a non-coding RNA of Camellia sinensis, 1867 nucleotides long. Lineage: Eukaryota; Viridiplantae; Streptophyta; Magnoliopsida; Ericales; Theaceae. The record is from RefSeq and is a predicted model, not a curated record.
CCAUAGUUUAGUCAAUUCAUUGCAUUCUUCAGAUUCCAUACCCCUUUAUCAUCCAUGACAUCACUAAAAUCAUAAUUCUCAUCAUAUUCUUCAAACAUUUCAUUCCAACCUUCUAGAUCUUACUUCAUCAGAUAUUUCCCAAAAAUUUAGAUCAUUUUUUAGAUAAAUAUGUUCCAGAAUCUACAUGUUCCAAGUAAUCAUAUACUGAUUCAUAAGACAAUCCAAGAACAAUUAUUUUUUCUGCCAAUGAUGUUGUUAUUGCAAAAGUGGUUCUUCCAUAAUGAACUAAUUUAAACUCAACCCAUGCUAAUUCUGUAAUUUCAUGAGAUAUUAUGAAAAACCUUACUUCUUUUGGAUCAAUUAUAAAAGGUUUUGUCACAAUCCUUGAACUAACCACAUUUUUAUGGGAUCACGCCAUUCUUAUCUUUUAUUGUUAUCAGAUAAUGAGUGGCAUUUAGAUGUCCAUCAUUUACCUCCGUUUUGUGUUAUUGUUAAUGUAAUGGGUGCCAUGCUUGAAUAUUAUUUAUAGGCUUUGUAAAUUCUCUUGAACAUGAAUUGUUUGAAUUUGAUGAGCUGAGAGAACACGAUAUUCUGAAGGUGAGAUAGAACGUCAAAUGUAUUGACUAUUCUCAAUUUUCAAAUUUAAACCAGCAUCUUUUGGGUUAAUAACCUUUUCUGAAUCAAAUGAACCCUUUAACAUUCUAUAAUUGUAUACCUGCUGUCUGUCCAUUAAAGUAACAUCACUGUACAAAGUUUUUGUUUUGUGUAUGAAGAGUCUAUAUUGCAUGAUUGUUAAUUGAGUCAUGAUAUUCCAUCACCCAGAGCUGGCUAUUGUGGAGUCCUGUGUGGUAUAUUGCUGGGGGUGGUAACAGGAAAAAAUGUAUGUCUCACAGUCUGAGAAGAACGCAUUCAAACUUCUCCAAUCUGUUUCUUCAACCGUGCAACUCUAAAUGAGGAACAUAAUUUCUUUUUGAUGUCAGGUUUAAUGUGACAAUUUGGCUUAUUGCCUACUCUUUUCAUCUAUAUUUGUCGCGAUGGUGACCAUCUCAUGUGUGGUUUGGGACUUUGGGACCUAUGUAUGCAUUCUAAGGAGAAGAUUAAAAGCAGAACGAAGAAUAUACUUAUAUUUAUUAAAAGUGGAAAGAAUAAUAUAAAAUCAAAGAGAAGGAAUACUCAUGUAACUCUUAUUACUUGAAAGAAAGGGAAAAUGGCAAAAUUAGUUGGCACUCUAGACUAUUGGUUUGAAUUUAUUAUAAUUUUGCUAUUGUUUAGUUCUUUGGAUCUUAUUGCCUUUGGUUGUGUAGUUAUUUGGUAUCUCUAAAGAAUCCAAUGACUCACACUUAUGCAUGUCACCUAAUUUGCAUUUUAGCUUUCUUUUUUCCUUAACUUUUCUUUCUAUUCUAUUCUCUCUGUUUUCCCGGACAUACAAAAAUCUUGAUUUUUGAUGUUUUAAAACGUGAGUAGUCUGUUUCUGUUGCAUAUCCUCCAUCUUCUAUCAUCACUGCCAAAGUACAAUUUGUUGAUUUUGCAGCUUGUUACAGUGUCACCACCAUGCCGUUUUUCAAGAAACAUUUCAAUUUUUAAGUGGUAUCGGUGGCAUGGUAUUCCUAUUCUCUCUCUCUCUCUCUACAAAUACAGUGUGUGCUUGUGUGUUUAGUUUGAGCUUCUUCUUUUAUGGCGAUAGAAAUACUCCAUCAGAUUGGCAAGGGUAUUCUACUUGAAGACAUGAGAAUGCUACUGCAAUAAUUCAAGUCCUCAGUCAGAUACUUAUCUAUUCAAUUGAUGUAUCUGUGAUGAUGUUAUCUUGCAUUUAAUUUCAACUCUAAGUUGAUUAAUUCAAACUCUCAUCACUCCUGUGAACCUUUUA